Non-coding RNA from Paramuricea clavata, 584 nucleotides. The record is from the annotation of a GenBank genome assembly. Lineage: Eukaryota; Metazoa; Cnidaria; Anthozoa; Malacalcyonacea; Plexauridae.
GAAUUUUGUCAACGAAUGUGUAAUCGUUCCAUGUUUCGCGCACCAAUAUAGUAAACGUUAUGUAAUGGAUAUUAUAGUGUACUGAAAAGUUAACUGGAUACCUCCAUACACAUAUAUACACACCCUAACCUUAAACCUAACCCCUAACCUAACCCUAACCUAAUACCUAACCCCUAACCCUAAACUAUAUUGGUGCGCGAAACAUGGAACGAUAACCAACGAAUGGAAGUUCAACGUUUAAUGGGACUUGGCGCAAAAGUUGAUUGACACCAAACAAGAUAAACUGAGUUUUAUCUGGAUUUAUUUAGAGUUGGUUUGUACUACACCAUCCCGUAACUUUAUUCAAGUCCUCCUUCAAUCUAACAAGACCAUCAUUCAGUUCUUUCAAUAGGAAAAAGAGACAGAGUUUAGUAUCGUCGACGUAGGAUUUAACAGAUGCAUUAGUGGUUACGGAGCAAAGUUCAUUAGUGUAGAUAUUAAACAAGAGAGGGCCCAAAAUAGAGCCCUGGGGUACUCUGUAUUUCACUGGAAGAGGCUCGGUCAGAUCAGAUUCUAUUCUCACUUGUUGCGCCACUCCCUGUCGG